AACGAACGCUGGCGGCAUGCCUAACACAUGCAAGUCGAACGAGACCUUCGGGUCUAGUGGCGCACGGGUGCGUAACGCGUGGGAACCUGCCCUUAGGUUCGGAAUAACUCCCCGAAAGGGGUGCUAAUACCGGAUAAUGUCUUCGGACCAAAGAUUUAUCGCCUUUGGAUGGGCCCGCGUUGGAUUAGCUAGUUGGUAGGGUAAAAGCCUACCAAGGCGACGAUCCAUAGCUGGUCUGAGAGGAUGAUCAGCCACACUGGGACUGAGACACGGCCCAGACCCCUACGGGAGGCAGCAGGGGGGAAUAUUGGACAAGGGGGGAAAGCCUGAUCCAGCAAUGCCGCGGGAGUGAUGAAGGCCUUAGGGUUGUAAAGCUUUUUUACCCGGGAUGAUAAUGACAGUACCGGGAGAAUAAGCUCCGGCUAACUCCGU
Molecule: ribosomal RNA, 432 nt
Filed under: uncultured bacterium
Lineage: Bacteria
Description: partial 16S ribosomal RNA
Rfam family: Bacterial small subunit ribosomal RNA
Source: RNAcentral